RNAcentral lists this ribosomal RNA (257 nucleotides) under uncultured bacterium. RNAcentral describes it as "partial 16S ribosomal RNA". It matches the Rfam family "Bacterial small subunit ribosomal RNA", at positions 524 to 776 of the family's 1533-position model. The record is from RNAcentral.
UACGUAGGGUGCAAGCGUUAUCCGGAAUUAUUGGGCGUAAAGGGCUCGUAGGCGGCCUGUCGACGUCGGGAGUGAAAGCCCACUGCUUAACGGUGGGUCUGCUUCCGGUACGGGCGGGCUGGAGUUAUGGCAGGGGAGACGUGGAAAUUCCUGGUGUAGCGGUGGAAUGCGCAGAUAUCAGGAGGAACACCGGUGGCGAAGGCGGCUCACUGGCUCAUUACUGACGCUCAGGCGCGACAGCGUGGGGAUCAAACAGG